GACAGGAGACACAACAGUCAGACACAUACUAGUGCUGGGGCCAUAAGGUAUAUUAGCCUGGGUAACAGCAUUCCACUCAUUAACACUGGUCUGGGGCCAUAAGGUAUAUUAGCCUGGGUAUCAGCAUUCCACUCAUUAACACUGGUCUGGGGCCAUAAGGUAUAUUAGCCUGGGUAACAGCAUUCCACUCAUUAACACUGGUCUGGGGCCAUAAGGUAUAUUAGCCUGGGUAACAGCAUUCCACUCAUUAACACUGGUCUGGGGCCAUAAGGUAUAUUAGCCUGGGUAACAGCAUUCCACUCAUUAACACUGGUCUGGGGCCAUAAGGUAUAUUAGCCUGGGUAACAGCAUUCCACUCAUUAACACUGGUCUGGGGCCAUAAGGUAUAUUAGCCUGGGUAACAGCAUUCCACUCAUUAACACUGGUCUGGGGCCAUAAGGUAUAUUAGCCUGGGUAUCAGCAUUCCACUCAUUAACACUGGUCUGGGGCCAUAAGGUAUAUUAGCCUGGGUAUCAGCAUUCCACUCAUUAACACUGGUCUGGGGCCAUAAGGUAUAUUAGCCUGGGUAUCAGCAUUCCACUCAUUAACAC
Molecule: long non-coding RNA, 590 nt
Organism: Oncorhynchus keta (chum salmon)
Lineage: Eukaryota; Metazoa; Chordata; Actinopteri; Salmoniformes; Salmonidae
Exons: 3
Source: RefSeq, a predicted model, not a curated record